CUAACGUCCGUCGUGAAGAGGGAAACAACCCAGACCGCCAGCUAAGGUCCCAAAGUCAUGGUUAAGUGGGAAACGAUGUGGGAAGGCCCAGACAGCCAGGAUGUUGGCUUAGAAGCAGCCAUCAUUUAAAGAAAGCGUAAUAGCUCACUGGUCGAGUCGGCCUGCGCGGAAGAUGUAACGGGGCUAAACCAUGCACCGAAGCUGCGGCAGCGAACGUAUCACUUAAAGCGAUUCAGCGGGUUACGAUUGACGGAGCGAAGCGACGUCAAAGCGUAUACAAAGUCGAGUCGGUUUAAGGAUACGUUCGUUGGGUAGGGGAGCGUUCUGUAAGCCUGUGAAGGUGGCCUGUGAGGGUUGCUGGAGGUAUCAGAAGUGCGAAUGCUGACAUAAGUAACGAUAAAGCGGGUGAAAAGCCCGCUCGCCGGAAGACCAAGGGUUCCUGUCCAACGUUAAUCGGGGCAGGGUGAGUCGACCCCUAAGGCGAGGCCGAAAGGCGUAGUCGAUGGGAAACGGGUUAAUAUUCCCGUACUUGGUGUUACUGCGAAGGGGGGACGGAGAAGGCUAUGUUGGCCGGGCGACGGUUGUCCCGGUUUAAGCGUGUAGGUGUGUGUUCCAGGUAAAUCCGGUUCACUUUAACACUGAGGCGUGACGACGAGGCACUACGGUGCUGAAGCAACAAAUGCCCUGCUUCCAGGAAAAGCCUCUAAGCAUCAGGUAACAUCAAAUCGUACCCCAAACCGACACAGGUGGUCAGGUAGAGAAUACCAAGGCGCUUGAGAGAACUCGGGUGAAGGAACUAGGCAAAAUGGUGCCGUAACUUCGGGAGAAGGCACGCUGACACGUAGGUGAAGUGAUUUACUCACGGAGCUGAAGUCAGUCGAAGAUACCAGCUGGCUGCAACUGUUUAUUAAAAACACAGCACUGUGCAAACACGAAAGUGGACGUAUACGGUGUGACGCCUGCCCGGUGCCGGAAGGUUAAUUGAUGGGGUCAGCGCAAGCGAAGCUCCUGAUCGAAGCCCCGGUAAACGGCGGCCGUAACUAUAACGGUCCUAAGGUAGCGAAAUUCCUUGUCGGGUAAGUUCCGACCUGCACGAAUGGCGUAAUGAUGGCCAGGCUGUCUCCACCCGAGACUCAGUGAAAUUGAACUCGCUGUGAAGAUGCAGUGUACCCGCGGCAAGACGGAAAGACCCCGUGAACCUUUACUAUAGCUUGACACUGAACAUUGAGCCUUGAUGUGUAGGAUAGGUGGGAGGCUUUGAAGUGUGGACGCCAGUCUGCAUGGAGCCGACCUUGAAAUACCACCCUUUAAUGUUUGAUGUUCUAACGUGGACCCGUAAUCCGGGUUGCGGACAGUGUCUGGUGGGUAGUUUGACUGGGGCGGUCUCCUCCUAAAGAGUAACGGAGGAGCACGAAGGUUGGCUAAUCCUGGUCGGACAUCAGGAGGUUAGUGCAAUGGCAUAAGCCAGCUUGACUGCGAGCGUGACGGCGCGAGCAGGUGCGAAAGCAGGUCAUAGUGAUCCGGUGGUUCUGAAUGGAAGGGCCAUCGCUCAACGGAUAAAAGGUACUCCGGGGAUAACAGGCUGAUACCGCCCAAGAGUUCAUAUCGACGGCGGUGUUUGGCACCUCGAUGUCGGCUCAUCACAUCCUGGGGCUGAAGUAGGUCCCAAGGGUAUGGCUGUUCGCCAUUUAAAGUGGUACGCGAGCUGGGUUUAGAACGUCGUGAGACAGUUCGGUCCCUAUCUGCCGUGGGCGCUGGAGAACUGAGGGGGGCUGCUCCUAGUACGAGAGGACCGGAGUGGACGCAUCACUGGUGUUCGGGUUGUCAUGCCAAUGGCACUGCCCGGUAGCUAAAUGCGGAAGAGAUAAGUGCUGAAAGCAUCUAAGCACGAAACUUGCCCCGAGAUGAGUUCUCCCUGAGACUUAGAGUCUCCUGAAGGAACGUUGAAGACGACGACGUUGAUAGGCCGGGUGUGUAAGCGCAGCGAUGCGUUGAGCUAACCGGUACUAAUGAACCGUGAGGCUUAACCUUACA
Molecule: ribosomal RNA, 2034 nt
Filed under: Salmonella enterica subsp. enterica serovar Derby
Lineage: Bacteria; Pseudomonadati; Pseudomonadota; Gammaproteobacteria; Enterobacterales; Enterobacteriaceae
Description: partial 23S ribosomal RNA
Rfam family: Bacterial large subunit ribosomal RNA
Source: RNAcentral